Long non-coding RNA from Oncorhynchus tshawytscha (Chinook salmon), 2171 nucleotides. The record is from Ensembl. NCBI's taxonomy places the organism in Eukaryota, Metazoa, Chordata, Actinopteri, Salmoniformes, Salmonidae.
GUCAGGAGAGAGGCUGUAAAUCUUCGAUGAGGACAUCAUUGAUGUUUGGGAUGUGGUUUUCUGUUUGGCUUUUGAUGGAGGUAACUUCAGCAAUACGGAUUGAAUCAAGCCCCUUACUGUAAUAGGCUUUUUGACAAAUCAGGAUAAAAUGGUCUGGUGGGUCCUGUGGCGAUGGUUAUUACCAUCAGGCAUUUUUACAGCCUUCUAAGCCUCACAUAUUUCAGCCUGUACGCCAGACUUCCUAAAGGAUCUCCUUCACUGUCACAUGUGUCUGGGUCUAGUAAAAUAAGCACUCAGCUCGUAAACCGGCCAAUGAGCAGACCCCAAAUAGCCACUUCUGCCAGCCUGACUGACAGAAGCCCUAAAGAGACGUGUUCGAAGAUGGAGGGAAGCUAGUCACAUGGAGAUUGAGGAGGCAGUCAAUCAAAGAGAAUGGCUACAUCUACCAGAAACAUUGACUGCAAUGUGCUUCUGUUGUCUUCUUGUCCUCCUCUGAGGAAACAACAGCUUUUUUUUUUGUCAGCCUCAUGUUGAAGUUGCUUUCUCUGACUAUAUUUCUAAAAGGCACAACAAACCUGCUGCGUUCUCUGUCUACCUACUUUCCUACUUUAGUACCCCAUCUCCCAGCGUGUGUGUGUGUUUGUGUGUGUGUGUGUGUGUGUGUGCGCACACCCUGUCUCCUGCGGUCUGCGUGCUGUAACGCUGUUCUGGUCUCCAGUAAAUCCAAACCACUACCAGGUGUACACACAGAGCCUAGGCUGAGCUGAGCAUACGGCCACAGCUGCUCUGUCUGUGUGUAGUUCUGUGUUUGUGUAUGCAUGUGUGAGUAGAAUGAAGUUGUCAUUAGCCGCUGAUCUAAAGUCAGAUUUUUACAUUUUUCACCCCGAUGCUAAAAAAACGUAAGCUGAUCCUAGAUCUGUACUUAAGGGGCAACCCGUAGUGAUUUAUAGAGCUGCCACCGCAUCAUAGACAUUCUUGUGUAGAGCCGUGCCCCGGUACAGCAGACCAGAGCUCUGUGUGCCAAACGACGCUAUGUUCCCAGCUUCCUCUAUUCCCACGCUUUCCUCUGUUCUGCCAACUGGGAACAUACCUCCCCGUUCACAUCAUUAUGAGAAUAAUAGUCCAACUCUCUCUCUCUCUCUCUCUCUCUCUCUCAUGAUUUCUUGAUGUGCAGUAGGCCUACUUAAUGUAAAACGUGUGGUGUACUGUUACUAUAUGUUAGUUAAAGAAAGUAUACUCUCGUUACAUUGUCCGUCCAUCAUUUGGGUUAGUCAGUCGGGUUAACAACUGUUAUGAGAAUAUAAGAUGGCGAAUACAGUAGGUAAGAGGUACGAGGUAGGGAGUUCUACUCUCCUGUCCUUGACCGUUAUCAGAGCUGAAGGGAUAUCAAAGCACACAUUCUUCAGCAGAGAGACUGAAAACACUUUGAGACACUUUGAAACACUCCUGUCCAAAAGGCUCAGAGCAAGCUAUACCUCCAGGUGUGUGUGUUUGUGUCUGACAGGAAGGGAGAGCGCAGGGCAGCAGGAACCUCUGUUUUCCAGCUAACACCUUGUUUACCAGCGUAAACGACAGUCAGAGAGGGGUAGAGACUAGAGAGCCUGGUUGAGACACACGACACAGCUGACAUUCAGAGGGGGGUAGAGACUAGAGAGCCUGGUUGAGACACACGACACAGCUAACAGUCAGAGAGGGGUAGAGACUAGAGAGCCUGGUUGAGACACAGCUAACAGUCAGAGGGGGUUAGAGACUAGAGAGCCUGGUUGAGACACACGACACAGCUAACAGUCAGAGAGGGGUAGAGACUAGAGAGCCUGGUUGAGACACACGACACAGCUAACAGUCAGAGGGGGUAGAGACUAGAGAGCCUGGUUGAGACACACGACACAGCUAACAGUCAGAGGGGGGUAGAGACUAGAGAGCCUGGUUGAGACACACGACACAGCUAGCAGAGACACAUCUGUACCUGGUCACAUUAUAAUGCCCUAACAGGUGAUACACAACUGCUAGUGUGUGUGUGUGUGUGUGUGUGUGUGUGUGUGUGUGUGUGUGUGUGUGUGUGUGAGAGACAGAGAGAUGUUUGCUGCUGAAAGGUUUCACUUAUCAGCAACGUCAACCUAUGCUUAAUGGAAAACCUUCUAGUUUGAAGUUAAGACAAGGGCAAAGUGAAA